RNAcentral lists this transfer RNA (73 nucleotides) under Bos taurus (domestic cattle). It matches the Rfam family "tRNA". From Rfam's summary of the family: Transfer RNA (tRNA) molecules are approximately 80 nucleotides in length. Their secondary structure includes four short double-helical elements and three loops (D, anti-codon, and T loops). Lineage: Eukaryota; Metazoa; Chordata; Mammalia; Artiodactyla; Bovidae. The record is from Rfam by way of RNAcentral. RNAcentral also lists the same sequence under 1 other name.
UCCUUGGCGGUCCACUGGUCAGGACUCUGCACUUUCACUGCAGGAGUUGUGGGUUCGAUUCCUGGUCAGGGAA